RNAcentral lists this small nuclear RNA (104 nucleotides) under Neotoma lepida (desert woodrat). Lineage: Eukaryota; Metazoa; Chordata; Mammalia; Rodentia; Cricetidae. The record is from RNAcentral.
GUGCUCACUUCAUCAGCAAAUACACUACAAUUAGAACUACAUAGAGAUUAGUAUGUUCCCUGCACAAGGAUGGCAUGCAAGUUAAUGAAUUGUUUUGUAGUUUU